UUUCAAAACGUACUGUAGCUAUAAUGCUACGAUACGUAUUUACUACGCGGCUGGUUCGGGUUCAAAUCCGGCAGAAGGUUUUUACUAAUUCUCAUUUAUUUUUCUACUUUUUUUGUUUUCUUUCGUUUCUCUUUUUUACGAAUCUUACCGUAAAAAUAUUAUAUAUUACGUAUUAUAUAUAUUUAUAAAUAUUAUAUACUGUAUUACAUAUUAUAUAUUAAUAUUACAUAUUAUAUACCACAUAUUAUACAUUAUUUUACAUAAAUUUCAAACUUGAAAAUGCAUUUAUAACCUAACAUAUUAUCCUAAUCGCCUCAUUCACAAGUGUAAAUAUAUUAUUAAAUGAUACAAAAAUAGAUAAAAUGCAAACUUCUGCUGGAUUCGAAUCCGAACUAGCAACUUUCUAAGCAACUACCAUAACGUUAUUCUAUUACUAUUGGGUUGUCCGGAAAGUUCGUUCCGAUUUACAUUUCGAUUCAUUAUACAUUUAUUGAAUUAUAUAGAUGGCAUUUUGUUCCACAACCUUUCUCCAUCUUUCACGUAACUCGAAUAUUCCAUCCUUCCAGAACCUCUCAGGCUUUUCGGCGAAAAACUUUUCAAUAUGAUCUUUCAUGUCGACAAAAUUCCUUAAAAAUCGAAACGAACUUUCAAUCAAAACGAACGGGCAAUCAAAUAAUUUACAAUAUGUAGUAUUCUAUCGAGACUUGAAGCUAAGACAAAGACGAAUUAGGAUUAAAUAUUAUCAAUAAUUAAAGAUUAUAAUCAAAUUUAAUCGAAGAAUAUAAUCAACUAUAUAUAAAUCAAUACUAAUAUAAAUAUAUCAAUAACUAAGGCUAAAUACUAUCGAAGACUUCUACAGACUAUAGUAAUACACACAUACACUUAUUAUGUGUUAGUUGAAUAGUAUGUACGAGGAUUCUACAUAUAUAGUAAUUGCCAUAUACAGUUGUAUAAUAUGUAUUUAUGCGCAGAGCAUACAUAAUUCUAUUGAGUACAUUACUUGUCGCCUGUGGUUCAGGUCAAUCAUCAAUAAAGGUUGGUAUUCUUCCUAUAAUUGUCGCAAUAACCAAUGUCUGAAGUCGAACAGAAUAGUUGUUCAGUUCGUGAAGUAUUCUUUUGUCUUGUAGUUUUCGAUUGUGAUGGUAAGUUAUAAGCAUAUUUUCUGACCUCUGAUUCAGACCUUGCGCCUCUAAAUGUACGAAUUUUUCAGUCGAGGUGUAUCCAGUUUAUUUUGUAAUUUCGAAGUAUUAAGGGUAGGUGGAACUAAACAUUAAGCUUAACACUAUCUUCGAUGUCUCUUACUUUGAUCCAGUGGUUUCUAAUUAUUUUCAGUAUGAGGAGGUCAAUUCUUAUCAUAUUAGCUUUGUCGUGUAGAUCGCCUUUGUUAACAUAUUUUGUAUCGACCUUUGCCCGUGACUUCAUUUACGUUUGGACUCUGUGAGUUUGUCGGAUAUUUAUUAUAUUUAUUUUCCUGUAUUUGUUUUUUACCAUCUGUAUACAAGGCCGCCAUCUCAAGCAUUAUCUGAUACUUUGUCCAGGUCAAUUAGUACUGCCCGCAGCAUUGAUUUAUAUUGUUUGUCCAAUAAAUAUCAUAUGUAAACUGUGUUGUGCUUGAAUUAGUUACAUAAUGAGCUUAUUGGUUUCAAUUUACUUUGGUGGAAUUAUGGCUUAGAAUACUCUGCUUAUUUUCAGAUAAUAAACAAAUAGCACGAUCAUUCGACAAGAUUAUCUUUUUGCAGAUGAUUCAUGGGGAGAGGUUUGCAGUUAUCCAGGAAAGUAUUUCAUAUUUAAACAGUUGUUGAAUGAUACUGUUUAGUGGUUUGUUAAUGUUAACUAUAGCUUCCAUGUAGUGCCAUUUCAAAUGCGAUGUCCACAACUGUGACUCCCUCUUGUAAGUAUUUAAUCAAGUGAUUUUCCCAAUGUAAUAGCCAACCUACAUAUUGGUAGACCAACAGGAUGAGAGAACUUAUAGAUACUCAACAUACUGACUCAACUGUUUCACAUUUUUCGCAAGUGAAUGUGGCUGAUCUGUAACGUGCAUAUACAUACUUACAUCAACACACAUACGUGUACACAUAUACGCGUACAUACAUUCGAUGGAUACGAAAGCACAAUGAAGAUGAAACUGUUAAUGUGGGGCAAACAAUUGCGAGAAUUUGAUGACGGAGAUAAUUUUAUGGCGCACAUUUCCGUAGUUAAAAGGCUAUUUCUGAGUCAACGCUUUUAAUUUUCCAUGUUUAUGGUGUUCUUAAUAGGAGGAUCUGACCUUUGGAAUCUAUUAUAGCAACGAUCGUAACAUUCGAUGAAGAUCGACAGAAUUUUCAUUACGUUCUUCCACGGGACUAUCGAAUGGCAGAAAAAUUUAGUCUGUUCACGAGAGUACCGUAUCUCUUCGUGUGGCUUGGUUUGGCUUACAAUCUCAAAGUUGCAUCACCUAGCGCCAUUCAAGGGCAAAUGAAAAGGCAUGGCGAUAAAUCUGAUCAAAAAUUACUCGUCAAGAAAGUCAUUCGAUUUCAACGACAGCGCGACGAGACGUAAGGGAAAAAUCAAUUUGGAGAUAUAAAUUUGGUAUUGAAUAUAUGAUGAAGAUGUAUUUGACAUGGUUUGAAGAAAACAUAGAAUGUCAAAAAAGAUAUAAAAACAGAUAAUAAAAGAUCACAAAAUAAAGAAAUAAAAAGAUAUUUUCAUUUCAAGUGACACUUAAAAAAUCCAUUUAGAUAUUUUAAUAUUGAAAUCUGUCCAUCGUACAGAUUAUACUUCAAGUAUAAUACAAUAUUUGCAUAUAUGACAAUUGAAAUAAAUUGCCCUAUUUAAGUUUCAUUUCUAUAGAAAAGUUGCGCCCAAUAAAAAAAUAUGAAUCUGCAUAAACUGAGCAGCUAAUUCAAACGUGUGUAAGUGUAUUAAGUGUGUGAGAGAGGUCAAGAAAAUGUUAACGAUACGUUAUAUUGCGAAUCAUGCAUAUUUACAUACAUCUAUGACAUCAUAUGAUUGAAUCUUCGGUUUGGGCGAGUAACGAUCUAAAUAUAGUUCGCGUCGGAAGAAAAGAAAAAUGAGAAAAAGGAAACUAGCUGAAAAAAGUGUUAGCCAAAAAGUUGUCAUUCUUCUGACGAAAACAUAAAACGAUCUUACGAUCAACAAAAAAUCUUUUCCUAAAAUAUUCCUACUCGCAUAAAUACGUAAAACACAUGGAAAUAUUGAAGACGAGAAACACCGCAAGGUUGAGACAGAAAGGAAGCAACAAAACGAAAAAGAUCACUCGUGAGAGGAGAGAAAGGCGGAGAAAGAAUGCAAAGGUGCGCUGUAACAAGACCAAAAGAAGAAAAUGACGAAGAAACUAGAGUAGAGGAGAAGUCUUAACCAGAGAAAGACGAAAAAGAGAAAGGAUGUCUGAAGAAUAAUAUCAGAGGAACCGGGUACGAGUCUCUACACGUAUACUUAUUAUUGCGUUUGCAUGUAUGUAAGCCCGAUCUUAGAGCAUAAUCGCGAACACACUCGGCAUCUGUCAAGGGCACAAGGAGUUGGAACGAAAAGAGCUGCCCUUUGCGCGCAUGUUUUUCUUUGUUUGUGCAAUUAAAAACUCACAGUUAACAUUGAGAACCGGAAACUAUCCAGAUGGAACCGAAUCCGCGUUCCUUGGAGAAUCCGCGGAUUUUAAUCCUUUUCGUAUGUUUUAAUUCAUUUCGGAAUUACGAAAUUUGUUUAAUUAAUAAAGCUAAAAGAAUUUUGAUAAUUCACAAAAAUAAAUACAUAUUUAGAUAUUCUUUACAAUUAAAGAAAUGUUAAAUAUUUAAUUGGAAUUUUCUCAUGUUCUUUAAUGUUCUGACUGAAGAUGUAAAAUAUUUAAGAAUUUAUUAGGGGUAUUAAUAAAUAUUAGAAUUUAUUUUAUAAAUAUUAGAAUUUAAUUAUUAAUUUUCGAAAAGUUAUAGCUAGAUAUAUAUCACGAGUAUUCUCAUUUCUAUUUCUUCUUUUGCCCUUUAAAAAGAGAAGAUAGAAAAAUUAAAAGCUCAUAAAACACCAAACUGGGAGUUGAUUAUGUAUCGCGUGACUCGAUCGCUUAAAUUCGAGGCAAUCCAUUUUUUACCUCUAGACAAUCGACGCCGGCAAUACGAAGAAACAGCUAUAAAAAUGGUUGUCGUUGUUUGCCAUGAUUUCGGGAUCAGCGUGAUCUAGCUAAAUCAUCCAGGUUUCAAUUUCGAACUCGCAAUGUCUGUGACCAAAUCGUGUGUUCGCGUGUUCAUACGCAUUUUCUCUGAAUGCUAUAAAAAUCUUUCAUAUUUUGGAGCGGCUUAUAAAGCUUCCUCUCUCAAAAAAUAAUAUAUCGUUUGUUAUGAAUAUUCAUAUAAAUGUAUUACUAUUGUCAAUAGAGGUAUUACAAAUCAAGAAUUUUUUACAUUACGCUAGUAUCGAUAUUUAUUGCUCUAAAAUUUCAUAAUCUUAUUUCUGUAUAUCCUCUAAUUACAGAACUAUACGAAAAAGAAUUCUACGUUUCAUAGAUCGAUAAUCUGCUGUACUUUAGAAAUUUUCAUAUAUUCGCAUACAUUUCAGAGCAGCUAUAGUUAUAUGCAUAUAUAAUUAAAUUUCUACAUAUCGGAGGAUUUUCAUUUCAUAAAGAAAAAUAUUUUUUCAACGUUAAAAUCGAAAGAUUGAAUUUUGCUUAGGAGAUGCCAACUUUUAGGCCGUUUUUCGACUAUGACGAUUAGGGGAGCCGAAAGGCCACACGUACGGCCUGCUCGGUCAGAGUUCCGACGCACGUGCCGAAAUCUUGUUAAUACCAUUCUGCAGAGUCGUGGCGGGCCAAGGUCGAUCCUCGAACGUUUCCUGAACGUUUGCAGAUAGCGAUUUACGGAGAGGAAGCGGCCAGUCGAAUCGACUGGCCAGGCAAUUUUUUUUAAAUAACUCCGCUCAGAAAGUUUCGUACGAAUAAUUGGUUCUCCUGAACAUUUUCAAUGGCUCGAUUUGAUGAAAUUUUAUUUGUACAAAAAUGUUAAAAAGUCAUGUUAGACGUUGCGUACGAAAAACUUUAAUAAUUGUCCCUAUAUAUAAAUUCCUUUUAUAAUAAAUGGACAACGAUAAUAUUCUACGAGUAAUGUAGCGUUUAUGUGUGUCACUACUUGGUAGUGAUAUAGUAUGUAAUAAAUAUCAAACACAAGGAAAAUCGUAAAUUUUGAAUUAAAACAAUUCUUGGAUAUAGGAAUUUAAAAAAACUUCUCUUAGUGUUAUAUAAACGUGUUACAUCACGCGUUGAACACGUGAACGUUUUAAAUUUAACAGUCAUUAAAAGGUAUAUCUUCAAGAUAUAUUAUAAUAAAACGUCACUCGCUGGUUUCGUCUAGUAUAUUCAACAAAAAGAAAUUUAUUAACUUUUUUCCUACUUAAAACAAGCACACGUGACGCUAAAAAAAUUCGCCAACUACUUACGCGACCUUGAGUCUUAUUUAUGUGUAUGAAAUCUUAUGCGUUUUUAAAUGGCUUUUGCUGGAACUCUUCAAGAAGCGUGUCGUUGAUAGAACAAACGUGUAUUCAUUGAUAAACAACGUGUCACGACAAAAUGCACAGUCAUUUUUUUUUUUUAAUUAAAACAAGAUAACAGGAUUAAUUAAUGUUAUUAUUGUAAACAAUCAAACAAACAAUGCUCAUUAAUUAAUGUUACUACAGUAAAUAAUCAAAGGAUUAAUCGUAUUAUACUGCGGAUGACGGAAAUACCAUGAAUAUUAUAUAGAAUUAUACUAUUUCAAAAACAAAAUUUAUGAGAACUAAAAUAUCAUAAGUAAUUAAAAUAUUGUAAAUACAAAAAUCUUCAACGGAAUUUAUUUAUCUAAAACUGUUUUGUUUGCGUAGGAACCUAAAAAUUCAUUCGAACGAAAAUUAACUCUUUUGUUUUCUAUGCUUAAUCUGAAAGAGUGGAGUUCUUUUACUACAAGAAAAUAGUCACAUAAUUUUAGUUUUUUUUUUCGUUCCGCCCUAAUAAUAUACUACUAGAAAUAUUUAGUCUGAACUGUCAACUUAAUAUUUCGAAGAUCACUUGACACAUCUAUUUCGAUAAAUUUGAUCCCUGAUAUCAAUAGAACUACCGGUUGCACGAAACUGCAAAGAAUAUGAGGUAGCUGUGCGUGGAAAUGAGUUCAGCAGGUAGGGUCACGAGCUAAAAUCACGCUUUACGGCUGUGAACUUUCCUUUCUUUCGAUCGCCAGCUGCGCGCUAGAGCAUUAUGCCCUCUAGUCUUUCGCUCCUAUCGAUCGGUCCGUGUCGUCAGCCCAUUCAGUCACGGUCACAGCUGUCGUAUCUUGAUUUUCUCAGCAGCUCGGGAAAAUAGUCGAUUUACGACAGAAAAUUGCCUUAAAAUUUUCUUUUUUAGUAGAACUGGAUGUAAGAAGGCUAAUCGAGUGGUCCGGAUGGUGAGAAAACAAUAAGGCGAGGCAGGAAGAGGUGAAGAAAAGAGGAGAGCUAGAGGGUGGAUUUUAUUGAUGGAACGCAGAAUCAUAAAGGAACGCGAAACUGCAGCAUGAAGUGAGAGCGAGUACGAUAGGUGGCCGGCUGUGGCCGUUCUCUUGCAUCGUGUUCGGUCUUUGGAAUGCCGACACCGCCGACGCCGACACAACAAGAAGAAAACGAUUCGAUUCUCCCCAGGGCCGAGUCAGGACUUUCGGUGGGAGAGAAUUCUCUCGCCAAGCGAUGGCUUUGAGCUGUCCUCGUUGUGUAUUGUGUAUGCACGAUAGAAGAAUAAUAGAACUCGGAGAAGUCUGGGACUUGUAAUAAAGACUUAAAUAAGAUACUUGUAUUUCUAAUAAAACAUUAUAUACGUACAUAGGUUGCCUGCUACUAUAAACAGAAACAAAUUGUAUGUAUAAUGCAAAUUAUUAUGCACAUUUUUAUAGGAAGUAUUUGCAAUAAAUUACCACUAAUAAGAAAGUUGAUUACCUAAUAAUGAUAAACGAAUCCUGUGUCAUUG
Bombus terrestris (buff-tailed bumblebee) is the source of this 6949-nucleotide long non-coding RNA. RefSeq lists it as uncharacterized. The record is from RefSeq and is a predicted model, not a curated record. NCBI's taxonomy places the organism in Eukaryota, Metazoa, Arthropoda, Insecta, Hymenoptera, Apidae. The transcript is spliced from 4 exons.